CCGGAGAAUGUUAUCACGGGAGACACACGGCGGGUGCUAACGUCCGUCGUGAAGAGGGAAACAACCCAGACCGCCAGCUAAGGUCCCAAAGUCAUGGUUAAGUGGGAAACGAUGUGGGAAGGCCCAGACAGCCAGGAUGUUGGCUUAGAAGCAGCCAUCAUUUAAAGAAAGCGUAAUAGCUCACUGGUCGAGUCGGCCUGCGCGGAAGAUGUAACGGGGCUAAACCAUGCACCGAAGCUGCGGCAGCGAACGUAUCACUUAAAGCGAUUCAGCGGGUUACGAUUGACGGAGCGAAGCGACGUCAAAGCGUAUACAAAGUCGAGUCGGUUUAAGGAUACGUUCGUUGGGUAGGGGAGCGUUCUGUAAGCCUGUGAAGGUGUGCUGUGAGGCAUGCUGGAGGUAUCAGAAGUGCGAAUGCUGACAUAAGUAACGAUAAAGCGGGUGAAAAGCCCGCUCGCCGGAAGACCAAGGGUUCCUGUCCAACGUUAAUCGGGGCAGGGUGAGUCGACCCCUAAGGCGAGGCCGAAAGGCGUAGUCGAUGGGAAACGGGUUAAUAUUCCCGUACUUGGUGUUACUGCGAAGGGGGGACGG
RNAcentral lists this ribosomal RNA (591 nucleotides) under Salmonella enterica. Its description in RNAcentral is "partial 23S ribosomal RNA". It matches the Rfam family "Bacterial large subunit ribosomal RNA", at positions 962 to 1475 of the family's 2925-position model. The record is from RNAcentral. Lineage: Bacteria; Pseudomonadati; Pseudomonadota; Gammaproteobacteria; Enterobacterales; Enterobacteriaceae.